CCUGUCCCUUAAUUGAGGACUAGUAUGAACGGCUAAAUGAGGGCCCCCCUGUCUCCUGCGACCAAUCAAUGAAUUUGAUCCUUCAGUACAAAAGCUGAGAUACACACAUAAGACGAAAAGACCCUAUGGAGCUUUAAGCCAUUAUACUACCUAACCACAGCCCCCUUUCCACCCCCCCCUAGUAUAUACUUUCAGUUGGGGCAACUACGGAGCAAAACAAAAACUCCACGAACAAACGUCUAAUACACGCAGUAUUUCAGGCUGCCACGCCACACACCCCAGACCUUAGACCCAGUCUAACUGAGCAACGGACCAAGUUACCCUAGGGAUAACAGCGCCAUCUUCCCCCCAGAGCCCAUAUCCACGGGGAGGCUUACGACCUCGAUGUUGGAUCAGGACCCCCCGGCGGUGCAGCCGCUGCCAAAGGUUCGUUUGUUCAACGACUAACGUCCU
Molecule: ribosomal RNA, 453 nt
Filed under: Lygodactylus madagascariensis
Lineage: Eukaryota; Metazoa; Chordata; Lepidosauria; Squamata; Gekkonidae
Description: partial 16S ribosomal RNA
Rfam family: Bacterial large subunit ribosomal RNA
Source: RNAcentral